Molecule: ribosomal RNA, 606 nt
Filed under: Triticum aestivum (bread wheat)
Lineage: Eukaryota; Viridiplantae; Streptophyta; Magnoliopsida; Poales; Poaceae
Description: partial small subunit ribosomal RNA
Source: RNAcentral
AUGAAGAAAUUCCUCGUCCUUGCCCUCAUUGUUGUCGCGGCGACCACCACGGCCGCCGAACCCUUUACUGCAUUCCGUAGUGCUUGGGAGCCGCAACAUCCAUCAUCUCCGGAGCAUCAACCAACUCCGCAGCCACAAGAACAUCCAGUUCCACAUCAAAAGUUGAACCCAUGCAGGGAUGCCCUCCUACAACAGUGUAGCCCAGUUGCUGAUAUGUCAUUCCUCCGGUCACAGGUGGUGCAACAUAGCAGCUGCUUGGUAAUGUGGGAGCAGUGCUGUCAGCAACUAAAAGCGAUCCCCAAGCAGUCAAGAUGCGAGGCCAUCCACAACGUCGUGCACGCCAUUAUUUUGCAACAACAACAACAAUUGGUACAAGCUACUUCCACCCAACCUCAGCAGCAGCAACAACAAGGUCAACAACAACAACAGGGUCUGGGUUCUAGCCAGCCACAACAACAAACACAACUGGAUCAGGGUUGGAUUGCGGUGAUAGGGACAUGGGUGAUUCAGACCAUCCCGGCAAUGUGCGACGUGCAUGUUCCACCAUACUGCUACACCACCAUAUCACCAUCCAGUGACGUCACUACCGACAUGGGCGGCUACUGA